UAGUGGAAAAUUUAGUGACAAAGCAGUGCACAAUGUAGUAACAACGCAGUGCACAAUGUAGUAACAAAGCAGUGGGCAAUGUUGCAACAAAGCAGUAGACAAUAUAGUAACAAAAAUAGUGGAAAAUUUAGUGACAAAGCAGUGCACAAUGUAGUAACAACGCAGUGCACAAUGUAGUAACAAAGCAGUGGGCAAUGUUGCAACAAAGCAGUAGACAAUAUAGUAACAAAAAUAGUGGAAAAUUUAGUGACAAAGCAGUGCACAAUGUAGUAAGAAAGCAGUAUGCACGUGGCAAUGAAAUCUUUUGGCGAAGAUAUAUAAUUGUACGAAUACCGUCUCAAGUUUUUACCGAUUCGAUAAAAUGACCGAGGCGGUCAAAAACCGCACAGCGUGAACAAGCUGUAAGACUUUGGCGCUCUAUGUAUAAACGAUGGAAGAGUGGAAGGAGUUCUGCUAGAUGUCUCAUCAGUGUGCUCGUCUAGCAGAAACAGUCUUGGGCGAUAUCGUAAGGACGGGCGCAGACCGUGUACGCACGGUCGGUCCGGUGACUCAUCAGCUCGUGGCGCGGAAAGCGUCGACUAGUGGGCCAUCUACACGGCGAGUUGCCACGAGGGAAGCCAUAAGCGGAACCGAUCAGGCGAAUUCGCUGGAGCUGCUGUCGAUGCGCGGGGGUUGGUAGCCACCGCGGGACAAAGAGUGACUUUUCGAAACGGAUUUUCCAGAGCAGAAUAUUGCCGGGGAUCUUUCCGGACUGGCGUUGUCAUUUUCUCCUCUGUGGAAGAUCCGGUGGGUACGCCUUUGUCUAGAUCGAGGGAGAGAUAAUGAGCAAGUCAUACUCUUUAAUUAAACGGUUUUACUGGUACAAUAAUUCUUGUCCCGACCCGGGGAGCUUGAUUGAUUCCGCUUAGGUUCUUGCGUCGAAAGCUCCGGCAUGCAACAUGUUCCUGCUUAAUGAGCGGGUUCGAUUUUUACGCCGGGCCAAUUACAUUCAUCGCCGAAGAAAUUCGAGCGCGUUUGUUCUAUUAUCCAACACGGCCAACAGGGAAGUGGAAACGAGAAAGCGCGCGAGUAGAAAAUGAAAUGAAGUUCUUGCGUACAGCGCGCGCCUUGGGUGUGGUUGUGCGUUUAAUUGCAUCGGAUAGUGCGGCGGCCUUUGCGCGUACUGUUGCCUCCUCUUCACGAUCGAGCAAGCGAAAGGUGAAAAACCAGGAUCGAAGGUGAACCGAACAAUUGAAGAAGAUCAAUUCAACCUUUCAAAGAAUAGAGCAACACAAGAUAAAAACAGAUAAAAACAAACAAGAGUGAUAACAAGAGGAUGAGAAUAAAUCUUGCAUCGUGACUGCAGCAGAAAAUAGUACACUUUAUGCCAAGGAAAUAAUGCAAGAAAGCAGUACAAGCUAACGCUAGAAAACAGGAAGAAAUUGAUGGCAAUUUUGAUUAUGUAAAGCAAAGCUGUGUGCAAAAUAUGGGUCAGGUUGAGGCAUGCAAGCACUAUUUUUGUUUAAAAUGCAGCUGUGCACAAAAUUUGAGCCGGAUUGGAGCAUACAAAUUUUCAAAAUUAGAGGCUGUUAAUAAUUUUGGCCACAAUUUUUGACCUCGAGAAAUCAAAAAUCCUUAUCUCGAGCAUUCUUUUUGUAUAAAAUAUAGCAGUACACCCCCCAAAUUUGAGUCGGAUCAAAGGAUACAAACUUUCAAAAUUACAGGCUACAUU
Long non-coding RNA from Megalopta genalis, 1711 nucleotides. RefSeq lists it as uncharacterized. NCBI's taxonomy places the organism in Eukaryota, Metazoa, Arthropoda, Insecta, Hymenoptera, Halictidae. The record is from RefSeq and is a predicted model, not a curated record.